RNAcentral lists this ribosomal RNA (253 nucleotides) under uncultured bacterium. RNAcentral's name for it is "partial 16S ribosomal RNA". It matches the Rfam family "Bacterial small subunit ribosomal RNA", at positions 524 to 776 of the family's 1533-position model. The record is from RNAcentral.
UACGGGGGGGGCAAGCGUUGUUCGGAAUUACUGGGCGUAAAGGGCGCGUAGGCGGUUCGAUAAGUCAGCUGUGAAAACCAUGGGCUUAACUCAUGGCCUGCAGUUGAGACUGUCGGGCUGGAGUGUGGGAGAGGAGACUGGAAUUCCUGGUGUAGCAGUGAAAUGCGUAGAUAUCAGGAGGAAUACCGAUGGCGAAGGCAGGUCUCUGGGCUGACACUGACGCUCAUGCACGAAAGCGUGGGGAGCAAACAGG